GCGCACCAGGCGAGAAUUUUUCACAAUGGGCGCAAGCCUGAUGGGGUGGCGCCGCGUGGGGGAUGAAUGGCUUCGGCCCGUAAACCCUGUCAUUUGCGAUCAAACCUCAUUAUUUAAAAGAUGAUGAGCUGAUAGUAGCGAAAGAGGAAGGGACGGCUAACUCUGUGCCAGCAGCCGCGGUAAUACAGAGGUCCCAAGCGUUGUUCGGAUUCACUGGGCGUAAAGGGUGCGUAGGUGGUGAGGUAAGUCGGAUGUGAAAGCUCGGAGCUCAACUCCGAAAUGGCAUUGGAAACUACCUUGCUCGAGGGUUGGAGGGGGGACUGGAAUACUUGGUGUAGCAGUGAAAUGCGUAGAUAUCAAGUGGAACACCAGUGGCGAAGGCGAGUCCCUGGACAACUCCUGACACUGAGGCACGAAAGCUAGGGGAGCAAACAGGAUUAGAUACCCCUGUAGU
Molecule: ribosomal RNA, 454 nt
Filed under: uncultured organism
Description: bacterial SSU rRNA
Rfam family: Bacterial small subunit ribosomal RNA
Source: RNAcentral